UACGUAGGGGGCUAGCGUUGUCCGGAAUCAUUGGGCGUAAAGCGCGUGUAGGCGGUUCGGUAAGUCCGCUGUGAAAGUCGGGGGCUCAACCCUCGGAUGCCGGUGGAUACUGUCGGACUAGAGUACGGAAGAGGCGAGUGGAAUUCCUGGUGUAGCGGUGGAAUGCGCAGAUAUCAGGAGGAACACCUAUAGCGAAGGCAGCUUGCUGGGACGUUACUGACGCUAAGGCGCGAAAGCGUGGGGAGCGAACAGG
Molecule: ribosomal RNA, 253 nt
Filed under: uncultured bacterium
Lineage: Bacteria
Description: partial 16S ribosomal RNA
Rfam family: Bacterial small subunit ribosomal RNA
Source: RNAcentral